CAGUAGCCGCGGGAAUACGUAGGGUGCAAGCGUUAAUCGGAAUUACUGGGCGUAAAGCGUGCGCAGGCGGUCCGCUAAGACAGAUGUGAAAUCCCCGGGCUUAACCUGGGAACUGCAUUUGUGACUGGCGGGCUAGAGUAUGGCAGAGGGGGGUAGAAUUCCACGUGUAGCAGUGAAAUGCGUAGAGAUGUGGAGGAAUACCGAUGGCGAAGGCAGCCCCCUGGGCCAAUACUGACGCUCAUGCACGAAAGCGUGGGGAGCAAACAGGAUUAGAGACCCCUGUAGUCCCUGUCUCUUAUAC
Molecule: ribosomal RNA, 301 nt
Filed under: uncultured bacterium
Lineage: Bacteria
Description: partial 16S ribosomal RNA
Rfam family: Bacterial small subunit ribosomal RNA
Source: RNAcentral